GUGCUGUCCCCCGGAUUAAGAGUUGGACGCUGGAUUGGAUCUUGUGACCGAUUUAGAAUCCUUGAUCGCUGGAAUUUUUAAUGGAUAUAGAUGUGGAUAUUGAACAAUUCUUGCAGGAGAGGAAUCUCCAAUUUAUGUGUCCAAAGAUUCUUGAUCAUCACCGGACAAUCAUAAAGGUAGGUCGGUUCCAAGACCUCCAAGGUAUCCAUAGAAUUUCAAACCGCC
RNAcentral lists this long non-coding RNA (225 nucleotides) under Phoenix dactylifera (date palm). RNAcentral describes it as "long non-coding RNA (PDAC_LNC021679)". The record is from RNAcentral. Lineage: Eukaryota; Viridiplantae; Streptophyta; Magnoliopsida; Arecales; Arecaceae.